RNAcentral lists this ribosomal RNA (1594 nucleotides) under metagenome. RNAcentral describes it as "bacterial LSU rRNA". It matches the Rfam family "Bacterial large subunit ribosomal RNA", at positions 1308 to 2925 of the family's 2925-position model. The record is from RNAcentral.
AGCGAGAAGCGUGUGAGAAUCAUGCUCGCCGAAAGCCUAAGGGUUCCGACGGAAGGGUCGUCCGCGUCGGGUAAGUCGGGCCUAAGCCGAGGCCGAAAGGCGUAGGCGAUGGACAACAGGUGAAGAUUCCUGUACUACCAUGAGGGAGCAAAGCGGGGACGCGGGGAAGACAGCCAGCCGGUUAAUGGAUUCCGGCGCCAAGCGGGGUAGGCCUACGGGCCGAGCCGUGAUGGCGGUCCCACGGGACAGAAGUGGCUAGAAGGCCCGCCAAGAAAAGCCGCGUAGCGAAGAACUCAAGGUACCCGUACCGCAAACCGACACAGGUGGGCUGGUAGAGGAUACCAAGGCGAGCGGGAGAACUCUGGUUAAGGAACUCGGCAAAAUAGAGCCGUAACUUCGGGAGAAGGCUCGCCCCUGAGCGUGUAGGCCUAAACGGCCGAAGCGUCUGGGGGCCGCAGAGAAAAGGCCCUGCCGACUGUUUACCAAAAACACAGGUCUGUGCGAACGCGCAAGCGGAAGUAUACGGGCUGACACCUGCCCAGUGCCGGAAGGUUAAGAGGAGAGGUUAGGCUUAGGCCGAAGCUUUGAAUCGAAGCCCCGGUGAACGGCGGCCGUAACUAUAACGGUCCUAAGGUAGCGAAAUUCCUUGUCGGGUAAGUUCCGACCCGCACGAAAGGCGUAACGAGUGGGGCACUGUCUCAACCAGAGACCCGGCGAAAUUGCAGUGACGGUGAAGAUGCCGUCUACCCGCAGCGGGACAAAAAGACCCCGUGGAGCUUGACUGCAGCUUGUCAUAGCGUCUGGGUAUAGACUGUGUAGGAUAGGUGGGAGGCUGAGAAGCUGGGCUUGCGGGCUCGGUGGAGCCGACGUUGAAAUACCACCCUGUUUGUACUUUGGCGCUAACCCUAGCCGUGAUCCGGUGAGGGGACGGUGACAGGUGGGCAGUUUGACUGGGGCGGUCGCCUCCCAAAAGGUAACGGAGGCGCCCAAAGGUACCCUCAGGCGGAAUGGAAACCCGCCGUGGAGCGUAAAGGCGGAAGGGUGCUUGACAGCGAGAGAGACAACUCGAGCUGGUGCGAAAGCAGGGCUUAGUGAUCCCACGGUUCCGAGUGGAAGGGCCGUGGCUUACCGGAUAAAAGCUACCCCGGGGAUAACUGGCUAGUCUUCGCCAAGAGUUCACAUCGACGCGAAGGCUCGGCACCUCGAUGUCGGCUCGUCACAUCCUGGGGCUGGAGUCGGUCCCAAGGGUUGGGCUGUUCGCCCAUUAAAGUGGUACGCGAGCUGGGUUCAGAACGUCGUGAGACAGUUCGAUCUCUAUCCGCUGCGGGAAGAAGUGACGAGAGAGGGGCUGCCCCUAGUACGAGAGGACCGGGGUGGACAGACCGCUGGUGGACCGGUUGUGGUGCCAACUGCAUUGCCGGGUAGCUACGUCUGGGAAGGAUAACCGCUGAAAGCAUCUAAGUGGGAAACCUGCCUCUGGAGUGACUGUCCCGAGAGGGGUAAGGGCGCUGGGAGACUACCAGUUAGAUAGGCCGCAGGUGGAAGCGCAGCAAUGUGUGUAGCCGAGCGGUACUAACGCCCGAGCGCUUCGUGA